RNAcentral lists this long non-coding RNA (318 nucleotides) under Homo sapiens (human). RNAcentral's name for it is "HSALNT0015143". Lineage: Eukaryota; Metazoa; Chordata; Mammalia; Primates; Hominidae. The record is from RNAcentral.
GUCGCUUCACUGCUCUACACCUCAGCUUCCUGGCCGAGCCCAACAGGAAGGAUCAUCCCCGCCCAGGAUGGCAGGGCAGGAGGAAGCACCUGUACCCCCAAAGCUGGGAGGGAAGGCGCUGUAGGCUCCAAACUGGAGGGCGAUGGGGCUGAACAUGCCCAACUGGGUGGCCACCUGCUGCAUGCGGCGGAGACCUCGCUCCUUCUCAGUGUCAGCAAACUUCACCACCAGGCUGGACGAGGCACCCUGGGCACGGGCCCACACACAGGUCAGAGGUGCAGGGUCAGGGUCUCUCCUCCCCAAAGCCCUCAGGACCUG